RNAcentral lists this ribosomal RNA (253 nucleotides) under uncultured bacterium. RNAcentral describes it as "partial 16S ribosomal RNA". It matches the Rfam family "Bacterial small subunit ribosomal RNA", at positions 524 to 776 of the family's 1533-position model. The record is from RNAcentral.
UACGUAGGGUACGAGCGUUGUCCGGAAUUACUGGGCGUAAAGAGCUCGUAGGUGGUUUGUCGCGUUGUUCGUGAAAACUCACAGCUCAACUGUGGGCGUGCGGGCGAUACGGGCAGACUGGAGUACUGCAGGGGAGACUGGAAUUCCUGGUGUAGCGGUGGAAUGCGCAGAUAUCAGGAGGAACACCGGUGGCGAAGGCGGGUCUCUGGGCAGUAACUGACGCUGAGGAGCGAAAGCGUGGGGAGCGAACAGG